This 1048-nucleotide long non-coding RNA is filed under the name Oryctolagus cuniculus (rabbit). RNAcentral describes it as "lncRNA (ENSOCUG00000039642.1)". The record is from RNAcentral. Lineage: Eukaryota; Metazoa; Chordata; Mammalia; Lagomorpha; Leporidae.
CUGUGACAUAGAAAGUCAUUCGGCAUCUUCUCUCACAUCAUGUUGUGUUUAGCACUACCAUCAUAGACUUACUGAAUGACUAAUACAUUGUCAUGAUACAGUAGACAACAUUUUCCUGAAUAAGGAAUUUGUUUAACGAAGGUAGUGAACCACUGGUCCUGUGAUUUAUGGUCUUAAAUCUAUCAGAAACACCUGCAUUUUUGGAAUGAGUGAAUGUAUUAUUGGAAUGCCAAUUACAUAAUUGCAUUGGAAAUAAUACCUUGAGCAUUCUAGAUACUAGUGUAAAGGAAGUGGCAAGUUUUCUGAGUGACAAACAAUAGGUGGCUUUAGGUUGUUCACAUAAAACUGCGCCUGUAUUUUUUAAAAUAAGCAAUGGAUACUCCAAUAAACCAAAGCAACGAAGAAUGAUGAGCACCCACCUGAAGAUAAUAUUGGUAUCGCAACAGCAGAAGAGCCAAACAGAAAUGUUAGAGUUGUUGAGAAUCACGGAUGACCCAAACUGAUUUUAGGCCUGUUUAAUGAGGCUCUUAUUUCAUUACAGGGUUAUAACCACAGAGAGAAAACAGUAAAAAUAAACAAACAAAAAAGACCCUAACUAAACAGAAACAGACCCAACUCCUUCAUCUUAUGGAAUCUACCUCUUAGGGGACAGGUGCAUAUUAAUAAAAAUAGUGAAACUUAAUAAAAAUAGUCAAACUUGACAGGACUUGCUUAAAGAAUCAAUGAUUAUGCAGUGAUACAUGAGCAGAGAAAUAACAGCAGUUACUGGACAGGAUACUCUGAGAAAGAGCAUCAAAUAUUUUCAUGUUUUUUUUAAAAAAAAAGUGAAAAUAUUUGCUUCUUUGAUUCUCCUCAGUGCCUUGCAGUCCCCUAGUCACAGGUGUGUAGAUGUGGGGUGGCCCAAUGGGCGCAGGUCACCAGUGGCCCUACAAGUCCAUGUGUACUCGAGUUUAAACAAUUUUCUAGAUGAUUCUGUUAGACUACACUAUAAAGAAUAAAACCUAGAGAUAGCUUCCUGUACCACACUCUCAUUUAGCAUAUAUUAAUG